GGGUCCAUAGCUCAGUUGGGAGAGCAGUAGACUGAAGUUCUAAAGGUCCCGCGUUCAAUCCGCGGUGGGCCCA
This 73-nucleotide transfer RNA is filed under the name Volvariella volvacea V23. RNAcentral's name for it is "tRNA-Phe (GAA) (tRNA-Phe-GAA-1-1, tRNA-Phe-GAA-1-2)". It matches the Rfam family "tRNA". From Rfam's summary of the family: Transfer RNA (tRNA) molecules are approximately 80 nucleotides in length. Lineage: Eukaryota; Fungi; Basidiomycota; Agaricomycetes; Agaricales; Pluteaceae. The record is from RNAcentral.